Bombus pascuorum is the source of this 440-nucleotide long non-coding RNA. RefSeq lists it as uncharacterized. The record is from RefSeq and is a predicted model, not a curated record. Lineage: Eukaryota; Metazoa; Arthropoda; Insecta; Hymenoptera; Apidae. The transcript has 2 exons.
UUUAUACUGAGUAGAUGUUACGUAUCAGCUAGAGUUUUAUAUAUCGUAGAAUCUCCCUCCAUGAUUGGGAAAUGCUCGAGUGGGGUUUAAGCAUUCACAUGGUAAUACAUGUCGUAGAAUAUAAGUGUAUAGGUUAAUUGUGCAAGUCGUCAAAGAAAUCGUAGAAUAAAAUAACAAACCGAUAAGAAAUGUUAUAUUGUUAAUUUUGCUAAUACAUAUUUCAACAAAACGAGAGCUUUGCGCAUAAUUAAGGAGGGUGAAUGGUAAAAACGGAAAAAAUAGUUUACAAGAAGCGAUCAGUGAAAAAUGACCGAUCAUGUAUCUUGGUUGAUCGUUCUUGAAGCUUGUCUUGUCAAUAAAGUGCAAUAGAAGACGAGUGUAUUUCAUGUAUUCCAAUGUAAGGAACGUGCGUGUAAUUUCAUUCUGUGCGUGCGCAAUGA